UACGGAGGGGGCUAGCGUUGUUCGGAAUUACUGGGCGUAAAGCGCACGUAGGCGGCUUUGUAAGUUAGAGGUGAAAGCCCAGGGCUCAACCCUGGAAUUGCCUUUAAGACUGCAUCGCUUGAAUUGUGGAGAGGUAAGUGGAAUUCCGAGUGUAGAGGUGAAAUUCGUAGAUAUUCGGAAGAACACCAGUGGCGAAGGCGACUCACUGGACAUGUAUUGACGCUGAGGUGCGAAAGCGUGGGGAGCAAACAGG
Molecule: ribosomal RNA, 253 nt
Filed under: uncultured bacterium
Lineage: Bacteria
Description: partial 16S ribosomal RNA
Rfam family: Bacterial small subunit ribosomal RNA
Source: RNAcentral